UUGAAACACUGUUUUUGUGCAAUUUGCAAGUGGAGAUUUCAAGCGCUUUAAGGUCAAUGGCAGAAAAGGAAAUAUCUUCGUUUCAAAACUAGACAGAAUCAUUCUCAGAAACUGCUCUGCGAUGUGUGCGUUCAACUCUCAGAGUUUAACUUUUCUUUUCAUUCAGCAGUUCGGAAACACUCUGUUUGUAAAGUCUGCACGUGGAUAUUUUGACCACUUAGAUGCCUUCUUUGGAAACGGGUUUUUUUCUUGUAAGGCUAGACAGAAGAAUUCCCAGUAACUUCCUUGUGUUGUGUGCAUUCAACUCACAGAGUUGAACGUUCCCUUAGACAGAGCAGAUUUGAAACACUCUUUUUGUGCAAUUGGCAAGUGGAGAUUUCAAGCGCUUUAAGGUCAAUGGAAGAAAAGGAAAUAUCUUCGUUUCAAAACUAGACAGAAUCAUUCGCACAAACUGCGUUGUGAUGUGUGCGUUCAACUCACAGAGUUUAACCUUUCUUUUCAUAGAGCAGUUAGGAAACACUCUGUUUGUAAACUCUGCAAGUG
This 543-nucleotide long non-coding RNA is filed under the name Homo sapiens (human). RNAcentral's name for it is "HSALNT0326441". The record is from RNAcentral. Lineage: Eukaryota; Metazoa; Chordata; Mammalia; Primates; Hominidae.